GAUGAACGCUAGCGGCAGGCUUAACACAUGCAAGUCGAGGGGUAACGGGGAAGCUUGCUUCCGCCGACGACCGGCGCACGGGUGCGUAACGCGUAUACAAUCUACCUUGUACUGGGGUAUAGCCUUUAGAAAUGAAGAUUAAUCCCCCAUAGUCUCUUAGAGUGGCAUCACUUCUAGAGUAAAGGUUACGGUAUAAGAUGAGUAUGCGUUCUAUUAGUUUGUUGGUGUGGUAACGGCACACCAAGACUACGAUAGAUAGGGGCCCUGAGAGGGGGAUCCCCCACACUGGUACUGAGACACGGACCAGACUCCUACGGGAGGCAGCAGUGAGGAAUAUUGGACAAUGGAGGCAACUCUGAUCCAGCCAUGCCGCGUGCAGGAAGACUGCCCUAUGGGUUGUAAACUACUUUUAUACAGGAAGAAACACCUCUACGUGUAGAGGCUUGACGGUACUGUAAGAAUAAGGAUCGGCUAACUCCGUGCCAGCAGCCGCGGUAAUACGGAGGAUCCAAGCGUUAUCCGGAAUCAUUGGGUUUAAAGGGUCCGUAGGUGGAUAAUUAAGUCAGAGGUGAAAUCUUGCAGCUCAACUGUAAAAUUGCCUUUGAAACUGGUUAUCUUGAGUUAUUAUGAAGUAGUUAGAAUAUGUAGUGUAGCGGUGAAAUGCAUAGAUAUUACAUAGAAUACCAAUUGCGAAGGCAGAUUACUAAUAAUCAACUGACACUGAUGGACGAAAGCGUGGGUAGCGAACAGGAUUAGAUACCCUGGUAGUCCACGCCGUAAACGAUGGUUACUAGCUGUUUGGACUUCGGUCUGAGUGGCUAAGCGAAAGUGAUAAGUAACCCACCUGGGGAGUACGUUCGCAAGAAUGAAACUCAAAGGAAUUGACGGGGGCCCGCACAAGCGGUGGAGCAUGUGGUUUAAUUCGAUGAUACGCGAGGAACCUUACCAGGGCUUAAAUGUAAGUUGCAUUAGUUAGAGAUAGCUAUUUCUUCGGACCACUUACAAGGUGCUGCAUGGUUGUCGUCAGCUCGUGCCGUGAGGUGUCAGGUUAAGUCCUAUAACGAGCGCAACCCCUGUUGUUAGUUGCCAGCGAGUCAUGUCGGGAACUCUAACAAGACUGCCAGUGCAAACUGUGAGGAAGGUGGGGAUGACGUCAAAUCAUCACGGCCCUUACGUCCUGGGCUACACACGUGCUACAAUGGUAGGUACAGAGAGCAGCCACUGCGCGAGCAGGAGCGAAUCUAUAAAACCUAUCACAGUUCGGAUCGGAGUCUGCAACUCGACUCCGUGAAGCUGGAAUCGCUAGUAAUCGGAUAUCAGCCAUGAUCCGGUGAAUACGUUCCCGGGCCUUGUACACACCGCCCGUCAAGCCAUGGAAGUUGGGAGUGCCUGAAGUCCGUCACCGCAAGGAGCGGCCUAGGGUAAAGUCGAUAACUAGGGCUAAGUCGUAACAAGGUAGCCGUACCGGAAGGUGCGGCUGGAACACCUCCUUUCUAGAGAAAGACGACUAAAGGUAAACGUGAAGGAAAGAAAUUGUUUGUUCUCACAGCUGUUAAUUAAAAAGAUACCAAUAAAAAAAGUAGAGUCUCAUAGCUCAGCUGGUUAGAGCGCUACACUGAUAAUGUAGAGGUCGGCAGUUCGAGUCUGCCUGAGACUACUAGUUUUUAUUACAAUUGGAAAUUCUAGAAGUUUGAGUAGUAGUUAAGUACUAACUACUGACUACUAUGUACUAACUUUUAGUAUAUGGGGGAUUAGCUCAGCUGGCUAGAGCGCCUGCCUUGCACGCAGGAGGUCAUCGGUUCGACUCCGAUAUUCUCCACAACGGCUUAACGUUUAUAUUGAUUUAUCAUUAUAAAUUCGCCACACGAUCAUUGACAUAUUGAAAAAGAUACAUGAAACAUUAGAUAUUUAUAUCUAAUAGAAAAAGUAAAUUAAAAAUUGUUGCGAGCUAGCAAUAAUUAAGAGUAAACUCAUUAAAAAGACAAAAGUGCAAUAAGCUAAAUAAGGGCGUAUGGGGAAUGCCUAGGCUCUCAGAGGCGAUGAAGGACGUGAUAAGUUGCGAAAAGUUGCGGGGAUUGGCACAUACAAAUUGAUCCGCAAAUAU
RNAcentral lists this ribosomal RNA (2104 nucleotides) under uncultured marine bacterium. RNAcentral's name for it is "bacterial SSU rRNA". The stretch from base 1 to 1493 matches the Rfam family "Bacterial small subunit ribosomal RNA". The record is from RNAcentral.